UGGGGAAUAUUGGGCAAUGGGGCGAAAGCCUGACCCAGCAACGCCGCGUGAGGGAAGAAGGGUUUCGGCUCGUAAACCUCUGUCCUAUGGGACGAAGAAGGUGACGGUACCAUAGGAGGAAGCCCCGGCUAACUACGUGCCAGCAGCCGCGGUAAUACGUAGGGGGCAGCGUUGUCCGGAAUGAUUGGGCGUAAAGGGCGCGUAGGCGGCCUAUUAAGUCUGGAGUGAAAGUCCUGCUUUCAAGGUGGGAAUUGCUUUGGAUACUGAUGGGCUGGAGUGCAGGAGAGGAAAGCGGAAUUACCGGUGUAGCGGUGAAAUGCGUAGAGAUCGGUAGA
RNAcentral lists this ribosomal RNA (335 nucleotides) under uncultured bacterium. RNAcentral's name for it is "bacterial SSU rRNA". It matches the Rfam family "Bacterial small subunit ribosomal RNA", at positions 355 to 704 of the family's 1533-position model. The record is from RNAcentral.